CAAUUUAAAUUCUAUAUAGAAUUUUCAUUUACAUUGAAAUUAAAAUUGUGAAAUUCAAUUUAAAUUGA
This 68-nucleotide transfer RNA is filed under the name Psathyromyia aragaoi. RNAcentral describes it as "tRNA-Val". Lineage: Eukaryota; Metazoa; Arthropoda; Insecta; Diptera; Psychodidae. The record is from RNAcentral.